AAAUCAUCAUUCCACCUGACCGUUUGAUCUUUUUUUUUCAACAACUUGAAUCUGGAUUCACACGUGGCUGUUAGAUGAGAUGUGAACCGUGAAAUGCAGUUCAAUCUACCUAAGAAACCACGAACCUCCUUUUCUGUUCUCGGUUCAGGCACUUCUUGUAUUACUUUUUCUUUUUUUUUUCUCUUCUUUUUUUUAGCAGGAUCAACCUCGAUUCCUCUUUCGCUUACGAUAAGCCCCAG
RNAcentral lists this long non-coding RNA (239 nucleotides) under Lathyrus oleraceus (garden pea). RNAcentral's name for it is "Pisum sativum (pea) long non-coding RNA (PSAT_LNC010745)". The record is from RNAcentral. Lineage: Eukaryota; Viridiplantae; Streptophyta; Magnoliopsida; Fabales; Fabaceae.